GUGACCUUGGUGUAGCGGCAGCACCCCGCGUUGUGAGCGCGGCGGCACCGGUUCGAAUCCGGUAGGUCACCCCA
Molecule: transfer RNA, 74 nt
Filed under: Haloferula rosea
Lineage: Bacteria; Pseudomonadati; Verrucomicrobiota; Verrucomicrobiia; Verrucomicrobiales; Verrucomicrobiaceae
Also listed under: 1 other name
Description: tRNA-His
Rfam family: tRNA
About the family: Transfer RNA (tRNA) molecules are approximately 80 nucleotides in length. Their secondary structure includes four short double-helical elements and three loops (D, anti-codon, and T loops).
Source: RNAcentral